GGGCGGUUAGCUCAGCUGGUUUAGAGCGUCUGCCUUACACGCAGAAGGUCACAGGUUCGAUCCCUGUACCGCCCA
This 75-nucleotide transfer RNA is filed under the name Methanothrix sp. Its description in RNAcentral is "tRNA-Val". It matches the Rfam family "tRNA". Rfam says of the family: Transfer RNA (tRNA) molecules are approximately 80 nucleotides in length. Their secondary structure includes four short double-helical elements and three loops (D, anti-codon, and T loops). Lineage: Archaea; Methanobacteriati; Methanobacteriota; Methanomicrobia; Methanotrichales; Methanotrichaceae. RNAcentral also lists the same sequence under 4 other names. The record is from RNAcentral.